Molecule: ribosomal RNA, 1378 nt
Filed under: Chlorocebus sabaeus (green monkey)
Lineage: Eukaryota; Metazoa; Chordata; Mammalia; Primates; Cercopithecidae
Description: Bacterial large subunit ribosomal RNA
Rfam family: Bacterial large subunit ribosomal RNA
Source: Rfam by way of RNAcentral
GUAGGCGAUAGAAAUGUAUGCCUUGGCGCAAUAGAUACAGUACCAUAAGGGAAAGAUGAAAGAACUAAAUUAACCACUAAAAAGCAAAGAUAAACUCUUUUACCUUCUGCAUAAUGUACUAGCUAGAAAUAACUUGACACAGAGAACCAUAGCCAAGUCCCCGGGAACCAGACGAGCUACUCAAAAACAGCUGAAAGAGCACACCCACCCACCUAUGUGGCAAAAUAGUGGGAAGAUUCAUGAGGAGCGGUGACAAGCCUACUGGGCCUGGUGACAGCUGACUAUCCAAGAUGGAAUCUUAGUUCAACUUUAAACUUACCCACAGAAUUACUUAAUCUUCCUGUAAGUCUGUUAGUCUAAAGAGGGACAGCUCUUUAGACCCUAGGGAAUAACUUUUCUAUAGGGAGUAAAAAAUAUUGCCCCCAUAGUUGACCCAAAAACAGCCACCAAUUAAGAAAGUGUUCAAGUUCAACAUCUAAUUAUCUUAAAUUCCAAUCACUUUACCGAACUCCUAACACCACCUUGGACUAAUCUGUUAUGUAAUAGAAGCAAUAAUGUUCAUAUAAGAAAUGUGAAAAUAUUCUCCAUUGCAUAAACUUACAUCAGACUGGAAUAACCCACUGACAAUUAACAGCCUAAUAUUAAUAAGCGAUACAACAAGCACCCUAUUAUUUAUUCUGUUAAUCCAACACAGGCAAGCUCUAAGGAAAGAUUACAAAAAGUAAAAGGAACUCGGCAAAUCUUACUUGGCCUGUUUACCAAAAGUAUCACCUCUAGCAUUUCCAGUAUUAGAGGUACUGCCUGCCCACAGACAUAUGUUCAAUGGCCACGGUAUCCUGACUGUGCAAAGGUAGCAUAAUCAUUUGUUCCCUAAAUAGGGACUUUUACGAAUGGCCACAGGAGGGUUCAGCUGUCAUUUACUUGUAAUCAGUGAAAUUGACCUAUCCCUGAAGAGGCAGGUAUAAACAAAUAAGAUGAGAACACCCUAUGGAGCUUUAACUCAUUAAUGCAAAUAAAAAUUCAAAAGCCUACAGGCCUUAGCAUACCGUCUCUGCAUUAAAAUUUUGACUGGGGUGACCUCGGAGUAUAAUUCAACCUCCAAACAGCCUAGACUAAGACCGCACUAGUCUAAGCGAGCUGACACACAUUGUUUCAAUAAUUUGAUCAACAGAAGUAGUUACCCUAGGGAUAACAACACAACCCUAUUCUAGCGUCCAUACAGACAAUAGGGUUCACAACCUCAAUGUUGGAUCAGGCCAUUCUAAUGGUGUAGCCUCUAUUAAGGGUUCAUUUGUUCAACAAUUAAAGUCCUACGUGAUCUGAGUUCAGAUCGGAGUAAUCCAGGUCGGUUUCUGUCUAUUUAACAUUUCUCCUAGUA